UACGGGGGGAGCAAGCGUUGUUCGGAUUUACUGGGCGUAAAGGGCGGGUAGGCGGCCACCGCAAGUCAGUUGUGAAAUCCCCGGGCUUAACCUGGGAACCGCAUUUGUGACUGCAUAGCUGGAGUACGGCAGAGGGGGAUGGAAUUCCGCGUGUAGCAGUGAAAUGCGUAGAUAUGCGGAGGAACACCGAUGGCGAAGGCAGUCCCCUGGGCCUGUACUGACGCUCAUGCACGAAAGCGUGGGGAGCAAACAGG
Molecule: ribosomal RNA, 254 nt
Filed under: uncultured bacterium
Lineage: Bacteria
Description: partial 16S ribosomal RNA
Rfam family: Bacterial small subunit ribosomal RNA
Source: RNAcentral